GGGCUUGUAGCUCAGCUAGGCAGAGCAAUCGGCUCUUAACCGAUUGGCCUGGGGUUCGAAUCCCCACAAGCCCG
This 74-nucleotide transfer RNA is filed under the name Thermoplasmatales archaeon. RNAcentral describes it as "tRNA-Lys". It matches the Rfam family "tRNA". From Rfam's summary of the family: Transfer RNA (tRNA) molecules are approximately 80 nucleotides in length. Their secondary structure includes four short double-helical elements and three loops (D, anti-codon, and T loops). The record is from RNAcentral. RNAcentral also lists the same sequence under 1 other name. Lineage: Archaea; Methanobacteriati; Thermoplasmatota; Thermoplasmata; Thermoplasmatales.